Molecule: long non-coding RNA, 2076 nt
Organism: Macaca fascicularis (crab-eating macaque)
Lineage: Eukaryota; Metazoa; Chordata; Mammalia; Primates; Cercopithecidae
Source: Ensembl
GGCGCUCCUUAGAGUUGGCAUAAGACAAUAACACAAGGAGAUGCAUGUCCAGAGAGGUGGGAACGAAGAUAUAUGUGUUCAGUGAGGUGCGCCCAGAGAUAUUCCGACAAACCGGUAAAACCUAGGGGAUGCAUGUCAAGGUUAUCAGGUGAAUACCUGUGGGUAUAGAAUUACCAGAGCCAUCCACUUCUGUCAUAAAUCAUUUAUUACUGAGGCCAAAAGCUGCUGGUUUGAGUCCAACUCAUGUAGGCACCAAGCAAUAAUUGCAUGAUGGAAAAUUUCUUCACAUUAAGGGGUCACUACCUGCUCCAUCUUUGUGACCAGGGUUAUAGUUCUGGGUGACAACAGCAUUCGGGGGAUGGAGGCUGGUAGCUGGAAACAGGACUUAUCUGUCUAUCAAACCUAUCAGUCACAGGACCUACAUGUGGUGUGCUUGCGUGUGAGGCAUGCCAAGUCCGGGGAGGACAUUCCUCAUUGCUCCCAGGCCUCAUCUGCUUCCUGGGCAGCACAACUGAGAAAUCCACGACAGAAUUCUUGUCAAGGCAGGAACCGGUCAUUGUGCUGCUCAGGGAAGAAAAGGCCAGAGCCCUGGGAAAUCUGGUUUUUGUUAAGGAUAUCUGUAGUGUUACUACCCGCAAUUUGGAAUAGCCUGUCUGGCAUAAACUAGAAUUGUCCACUCUCCUAUAUUUCCCUUACAUCAUCAUAUACAUUGUCCAGGGCAUGACUAGAAUAGGUAAGGUGUAAGGUACAGGUGCUUUGCUCACAUUUCUCUGAAUUCUCCUGAGGAGGCAGUUAUUUUCCCUUUGCAUGGGUCUCUGAGCGUUUAGGCUGGCUCCUGGUUCUCCUCCAUCUACUUCCCAGGCAAGCCCAGAACAGUCUCCACUCAAAGAUUUGCUACAGUUCAGAUUUUACUGCUGAGCAGAACAUACCAGCACCAAUGAAUAUAAAGGGUUUUUUUUUUUUUUUAAUAUCUCACAUUUCACCGACUACUCACAACUUCUGCAAACAAGAUACUGGAUACUAGGAUACACACUUUUCCUUUAAACUUAACAUCUCAGGCAGCACUGAGCCCUGUUUCAAAAACAUUUGAGCAUCAUCAAACCCCAGUGCCUUCUGAUGGCCAAUGGUUCAGUGUCACUGGACUCAGGUCCUUGGUCCAUGGCUUAGAGAUACUGGUGGUACUUCUAUACAUCUUCAAUAGAAUCAGGGCUAAUAUAGGACAGUGUUUGUAAGAAACCAGGGAAAAUGUUUCUCAGUUCUUUCUAUUCUUACUGUCUUGCUAGAGCCUGUCCUAUAGUUUAGGUAUGGUUUGUUCCCACCAAAACUCAUGCUGAAGCUUGUUCCUCAAUGUAGCAAUGUUGCUGCAGGCACAUUGCUCACAUUUCUCUGGGGUAGUGUGAGCCUUAUGGGAGUUGAACCUUAUAGGAGUUGUUUGGGUCAUGGAGGUAGAUCCCUCACCAAAGAUGAAUGCCAGGAGUCAGUUCUCUCUCUCCAGGAUCUGGAUUAGUUACCAUAAAAGCAGGGUGUUAUAAAGUGAUGGUGUUGCUCAUCCUGGCUCUCCCUGCACAGGCCUGCUCCUUCUUCCACUUCUCUUCCAUAUUAUGACACAGCACAAAGCCCUCAAAAGAAGUCCAGCAGAUGUUGAUGCCCUAUUGGCCUUUCCAGCCUCCAGAAUUGCAAGCCAAAUAAAGCCCUUUUCCUUAUAAAUUUCUUUAUACAUUUUCCCAGCCUCAGCUAUUCUGCUAUAGCAGCAGAGGACAAAUUAAGACAGCCUCUCUCCUUGUUGCACAAAUAAAUAUUGUCCAGCCUUAACUUUGGAAAAUCACUACUCUUCUCUUUACAUUCAGUCACCUUUGAAAGUUCUUGAGUUUUCAGCCAAACUGUAGAAUACUCAGAAUUGGUUGACACAGAGUAAAUAGUCCUGUGUAUUUGCUAAAAGUCCUCUUGACAUGCAUUAGUAAGUUUUGCACUGGUCUCAGAGAUACCAAGCUGCUUUGUCCUCAGACUGCAAAUUCUCUUGUCUCCUUUUGGGACUUUCUUAAAAAUCAUAGCCUGUUUCCUAUAAAAAAAAAAAAA